Molecule: non-coding RNA, 101 nt
Organism: Termitomyces sp. T159_Od127
Lineage: Eukaryota; Fungi; Basidiomycota; Agaricomycetes; Agaricales; Lyophyllaceae
Source: the annotation of a GenBank genome assembly
AGCAGCAUGGCACAGCUGGAAGCGUGCAGGGCCCAUAUGAUAAUUUACAGUCACGUAACUACUCCACCCCGAGGUCACUUGAUCGAAACAAGUUGCUGCUA